GAAGACAGGUGAAUGGCCGCUCUUUGUUCAAAGUUCGAGGCAACCCCUUAGGGGUUUACCCUGAGCUUGUCGAAGGGAGGAAAGUCCGGACACCUUAUUGAUCUUUUUCAAUAAACGGGUGGCAGAUAACGUCUGCCCGGAGCAAUCCGAGGGACCGAUACAAAAUGGAUAGAUAGACACACGUGUAUAUCUAUUUAAUCGGCCAAGAGUGCAACAGAAACAUACCGCUUUCACCCGCCGAAGCUUUACGCGAAGGCGGGCUAGUCCACUUCUUGUGGAGAGUAAGGUUGAAAUCGUGAGGCCCGCCUUCGCGCGGGAUACCCCUCGCUUCGGCGAGGCAAAGUAAGAGCUCACGCGGCCGCGCGGCAACGCGCGGACGGGGCAAGCCCCACCCGGUGCAACCUCAAGCAAUUCCGCCUUAAAACGGAAUAGGUAGAGGGCAAGAGGCGUACGGCGACGUGCGUCCCAGAUAGAUGGCCAUUCCAGACAGAAUCCGGCUUACAGCCUGUCUUCAAAA
Molecule: RNase P RNA, 517 nt
Filed under: bacterium
Lineage: Bacteria
Description: RNase P RNA component class A
Rfam family: Bacterial RNase P class A
About the family: Ribonuclease P (RNase P) is a ubiquitous endoribonuclease, found in archaea, bacteria and eukarya as well as chloroplasts and mitochondria. Its best characterised activity is the generation of mature 5'-ends of tRNAs by cleaving the 5'-leader elements of precursor-tRNAs.
Source: RNAcentral